RNAcentral lists this transfer RNA (73 nucleotides) under Dipodomys ordii (Ord's kangaroo rat). It matches the Rfam family "tRNA". From Rfam's summary of the family: Transfer RNA (tRNA) molecules are approximately 80 nucleotides in length. Their secondary structure includes four short double-helical elements and three loops (D, anti-codon, and T loops). Further hydrogen bonds mediate the characteristic L-shaped molecular structure. tRNAs have two regions of fundamental functional importance: the anti-codon, which is responsible for specific mRNA codon recognition, and the 3' end, to which the tRNAs corresponding amino acid is attached (by aminoacyl-tRNA synthetases). tRNAs cope with the degeneracy of the genetic code in two manners: having more than one tRNA (with a specific anti-codon) for a particular amino acid; and 'wobble' base-pairing, i.e. permitting non-standard base-pairing at the 3rd anti-codon position. Lineage: Eukaryota; Metazoa; Chordata; Mammalia; Rodentia; Heteromyidae. The record is from Rfam by way of RNAcentral.
GGGACCAUGGCUUAAGUGAUAGAGCACCUGUUUAGCAAACUGGAAGCUCUGAGUUCAAUCCUCAGUACUAUCU